This 1451-nucleotide unclassified non-coding RNA is filed under the name Bombus terrestris (buff-tailed bumblebee). Its description in RNAcentral is "misc RNA ENSBTSG00005020022.1". Lineage: Eukaryota; Metazoa; Arthropoda; Insecta; Hymenoptera; Apidae. The record is from RNAcentral.
UUGAAGCUGUACUUGAUUCUCCAGGACCACCAGUACCUACUGCAUCUCCAUUAAUACUGGACCCAGCAAGAGAUGCUGUCGGUGUAACUGGAGCUGAACGUCUCCUUACUUUUGUCAAAGCUUUAUCUAAUCGUUGUAUAAACAUGUCCACAUCUGAUUUCUUCAUGCCUAAAGCUGCAGCAGCAGUUAAGUAUGGCUACUUCCUGCAGCUUUUGGUUGUACUUCUUCUAAAUCACUUGAUCUUCCUAUGCCAUGACCCAUUCGAAAAUGUCGCCUUGCAACAAUGUUCGAUACGAUUCUUGCUUCACGUUCUCCAACACUACAAUUCGAAGGAAAAUUGUUGCUGUCCAUUUGUGACAGAUCUGAGAGAAAAGCUUCUAUUGUUGCAUCAUCCCAACCCUCUUCUGGCCACUUUUGCUAUUUUAAAACAAUUUAUAUUAGUAAUUAAAUGAUAUAAUACAAUUAUAUUAAUAUAUUAGUAAUUAAAUGAUAUUGUCAGAAUAUUAAUUGAAACCUUACAUGUUCGAUGAAGUGUCUUAUAAGAUUUUCACGUGCUUUUUUUGCAUUUAAACCUUGUUGUACAUAGGUUGAAGGAAUAAGUCUUUCAGCUAAACUGAAUGCCUGAUUAUUCAUCUUCUUGAUUUAUUUAAUUCUUUCACACACUUAGGCCAGAAAUAUUAGAAAGUUUGAUGUCUUAGCACAGCAUUGCUUUUAAUAAUUAAUAUCAAAUGAUUAGAAUAAUUAUUAAUCUACAAAUAAUAUGAACAUGAAAUGCUCAUUAUACAACACAAGAAAAUGAUAUAACUUUAUAUAAAAAUAUUCUUCUAUGAUAUUCAAAUGCAUAAACAUUUAAUACAAAAUUAUAUUUUACUUAAAUAAAAGAUAUUGCUCCAUGAAUGAUUUUUAUGUAAAUAGAAGGUGCAACAAUGUUGAUGGUAUCAUAGAAAAGAAAACAAAGUUUCCAUAUAAAAAUGAAAUUUAUUAAAAUAUCAAAUAUAUGGGUACAAAAAAUCAUACAUUACAUAUUAUAACAUGCAAAAGCUAAUUACAAAUCAAAAAGAUAUGUAUGCAACUUAAAAAAAUAUAUAAAAUCACAUUUGUAUAUCAAUAAAUAUUCGUAACUAUAUUUCAGAAAAAAAUACAGUACGAAAAUAUAUUACAUAAUUUCAUAGAAUAUGAAUAAAAAUUAAUAAAAUAGCGAAAAAUCAUUAAGUAACCAUAAACAUCAGUAUCACAUAAAAUCAAAGAACAAACACGCUGUUGUUUAUUUAAACGAAUUUAACAAAAUACAACAAAUUCAACAUCGAUAUAAAGGUUAUGUACUUUUAUUAUGUACGGAUUAAAACACUAUUCACAAAAAAAAAAAAUGAGAAAAGAAUAAAUAGUUACAAUAUCUAAAGUUCUGUUAAAAGCUGGCUAACAAAUAAAUAAAAAAAAGGUUGAUUCGAAUG